AUGAACUGGUGCUUGCACCGGGGAUUAGUGGCGAACGGGUGAGUAACACGUGAGUAACCUGCCCUUGACUCUGGGAUAAGCCUGGGAAACUGGGUCUAAUACCGGAUAUGACCUUCCAUCGCAUGGUGGUUGGUGGAAAGCUUUUGUGGUUUUGGAUGGACUCGCGGCCUAUCAGCUUGUUGGUGGGGUAAUGGCCUACCAAGGCGACGACGGGUAGCCGGCCUGAGAGGGUGACCGGCCACACUGGGACUGAGACACGGCCCAGACUCCUACGGGAGGCAGCAGUGGGGAAUAUUGCACAAUGGGCGCAAGCCUGAUGCAGCGACGCCGCGUGAGGGAUGACGGCCUUCGGGUUGUAAACCUCUUUCAGUAGGGAAGAAGCCGUGAGGUGACGGUACCUGCAGAAGAAGCGCCGGCUAACUACGUGCCAGCAGCCGCGGUAAUACGUAGGGCGCAAGCGUUAUCCGGAAUUAUUGGGCGUAAAGAGCUCGUAGGCGGUUUGUCGCGUCUGCCGUGAAAGUCCGGGGCUCAACUCCGGAUCUGCGGUGGGUACGGGCAGACUAGAGUGAUGUAGGGGAGACUGGAAUUCCUGGUGUAGCGGUGAAAUGCGCAGAUAUCAGGAGGAACACCGAUGGCGAAGGCAGGUCUCUGGGCAUUAACUGACGCUGAGGAGCG
RNAcentral lists this ribosomal RNA (675 nucleotides) under Arthrobacter sp. Its description in RNAcentral is "bacterial SSU rRNA". It matches the Rfam family "Bacterial small subunit ribosomal RNA", at positions 69 to 755 of the family's 1533-position model. Lineage: Bacteria; Bacillati; Actinomycetota; Actinomycetes; Micrococcales; Micrococcaceae. The record is from RNAcentral.